This 380-nucleotide ribosomal RNA is filed under the name Clostridioides difficile. Its description in RNAcentral is "partial 23S ribosomal RNA". It matches the Rfam family "Bacterial large subunit ribosomal RNA", at positions 2543 to 2925 of the family's 2925-position model. Lineage: Bacteria; Bacillati; Bacillota; Clostridia; Peptostreptococcales; Peptostreptococcaceae. The record is from RNAcentral.
CAUCCUGGGGCUGUAGUAGGUCCCAAGGGUUGGGCUGUUCGCCCAUUAAAGUGGUACGCGAGCUGGGUUCAGAACGUCGUGAGACAGUUCGGUCCCUAUCCGUCGCAGGCGUAGGAAAUUUGAGAAGACCUGUCCUUAGUACGAGAGGACCGGGAUGGACGUACCUCUGGUGUACCAGUUGUUCUGCCAAGGGCAUGGCUGGGUAGCUAUGUACGGAAUGGAUAAGCGCUGAAAGCAUCUAAGCGCGAAGCCAACUUCAAGAUAAGAUUUCCCACCGCAAGGGUAAGACCCCAGAAAGACUAUCUGGUUGAUAGGUCGAAGGUGUAAGUGCAGCAAUGUAUUUAGCUUAUCGAUACUAAUAGGUCGAGGACUUGACCAAU